CUGGGUCUGAGCCUCGCGCUCGCUACCCGUCCUUUGUCAUGAGACGCGCAAGCAACUCACAUCGCUUCGGCCUCGGGCGAUGCCCCCUAUUUAGUUGGGGGGCGGAUCCCGCGGUCGGCCUUACAAACCCACGCGGAAUUUUGAAGUCUGAUCAAUUGAUAAACGAAAAGCA
Molecule: unclassified non-coding RNA, 172 nt
Filed under: uncultured Venturiaceae
Lineage: Eukaryota; Fungi; Ascomycota; Dothideomycetes; Venturiales; Venturiaceae
Description: sequence contains ITS1
Source: RNAcentral